CAAAAAUAAAUAAAAUAAAUUUAUUUUUUUUUAAAGUAAUUAUUAGGGGGAACAUGCAUAAUUCAAACGGAAGGACUCAUAAAGAGGGCACUUCCAGCCACAGUCAGGAAGGCAUGUGGCAGCGCCCCCCAGGAGCCCCAUCCUUUCCGCACACACGGUUGCUGGAUGUCCAGUCUCAGAGGCCAGGGCUGUGGACAAAGGCGGCUCUCCCCCUCUCUCCUUCUCUCUUUCUCUGUAAAGUAGCUAAACUUCCUCAGUACUGAUUACUCAACAAAGAAGAUAGAAACUGCAUUUUUUGAAGACCAAAACCUGGCCCAUAGGUGUCCCUGUUGGGUUUGAUCUUGUUUCCCUUCUUAAAUGUAAGAUUUCCCUUGAAGGAAGGGGGGCGUUUGGCCUCCAAGGCUAAGCUAAGGAAGAAAUCUUCAACAAACAAAGGAUGCCGCUCGCUAUCAAGCCCUCAGCCCCUGCAGCCAGCCCCAACGGUGCACCCCGAGAGCUCUCAGGAUGGGACAGAACAGGAUACCUGUCCUCAGCAGCUGAGGUACAUAUCAAAGAAAUGAUCUCAAUGAGCCCAGACUCUUGCAUCUGCCCAUACAGAGAAAAGCACUACAUUCAUUAACUUGAGAUGUCUGGUUUUCUUUAAUUAACUGCAAUUAACAGACGUUCUGACUCCCUGGUCUUUGUUGCAAAAACCCCUAUAUAUCCUGGCUCCGCCCUGACCUCUUUGGAGCUAUCCCUCCAGCUAUCUGAGAGGGUGUCUCCCAGGCCUAAGUUCUCAGCAAGUCCACCAAAUAAAACAUAAUUCUCACCUUUUAGGUUGUGCAGUUUCUACCUGUGGACACUUCCUUUUUCUCAGAGUUUCUGCAGAAUGUUUUCUCCAGGAAGACUUCACAGGAGACUGGUGUGAGCCAGCGUUGAAGGCAGCGUGAUCAACGAUAAAGGAAGGGGAAGCAGAGCUCCGGACAGGAGAGUCCACUGUGCCUACAGCCAAGGACCCCAAGCCCCCUGAAUGCCGUGCUGCCAUUGGAAGAAUGACCUGCUAUCUUUGUCCUGACGGGGGAGGAUAUUCACAGGAGACAGGCAGAGAAAUUGAUGUACAAGUGGAGCAGAAAAUAAACAAACUGGGCAGUGACACAAGGAUGAAAGGCACCUCUGGUUCUGGACAGAACUGGUGAUGGAAGAGAAGGGAGAAUUUAUUGCUUUUGAAGAAGAAUCUUUGAGAGCAAAGCAAAGAGGACGUCCUAAGGAAUAACGAAGGCAGGGAGAGGUAUUGUACUCUCCCAGCAACAGAGUAACAGUGGAUGCCAACCAGAGUCCUAUGUAGAGCUAUGACUGAAAUAUUCCUUUAGCACUCAACCUGAUUCUUAAAUUGAAUUAGCUGCAUGAUAGGAGCCUCUGAGGAAGGAAUUUCUUCUAAGGGAGAAGAGUAACGGCGUCAAAGGAAAAUGGCUAUAAAGUUGUUACCCUUACAAGUUCCUGGAACGAUAGUAAAACACCAGAGUGCCGAACACUGGAGAAAUACAACCAAAUAUCAGGCAAGAGGUGCUGGCGUCUGACCUUGGCUGCAGACUGCUUCCCCACCCUGCUCCCCGACCCCAUGUCCUCCAAUAUUCUGGGCAGACAGCUUCCUUCUCUCAGUGUUGCUGCUUCUGGGUCUACAUUUCCUCCUUCUGUCACCUUCUUCCCUCAGCCAUUAAGGAGCCUAACACCGCCCACCCAUUAAAGAUGAUGGCGCCUCGGUGGGUUAAGAAUCCGCCUGCCGAUGCAGGGGACACGGGUUCGAGCCUGGUCCGGGAAGAUCCCACAUGCU
Aethalodelphis obliquidens (Pacific white-sided dolphin) is the source of this 1810-nucleotide long non-coding RNA. RefSeq lists it as uncharacterized. The transcript has 7 exons. The record is from RefSeq and is a predicted model, not a curated record. NCBI's taxonomy places the organism in Eukaryota, Metazoa, Chordata, Mammalia, Artiodactyla, Delphinidae.